Molecule: ribosomal RNA, 464 nt
Filed under: Streptococcus pneumoniae
Lineage: Bacteria; Bacillati; Bacillota; Bacilli; Lactobacillales; Streptococcaceae
Description: partial 23S ribosomal RNA
Rfam family: Bacterial large subunit ribosomal RNA
Source: RNAcentral
UGAAAAGGGAAACAACCCAGACCGUCAGCUAAGGUCCCAAAGUUAUGGUUAAGUGGGAAACGAUGUGGGAAGGCUUAGACAGCUAGGAGGUUGGCUUAGAAGCAGCCACCCUUUAAAGAAAGCGUAAUAGCUCACUAGUCGAGUCGGCCUGCGCGGAAGAUGUAACGGGGCUCAAACCAUACACCGAAGCUACGGGUAUCACUUCGUAUGAUGCGGUAGAGGAGCGUUCUGUAAGCCUGUGAAGGUGAGUUGAGAAGCUUGCUGGAGGUAUCAGAAGUGCGAAUGCUGACAUGAGUAACGACAAUGGGUGUGAAAAACACCCACGCCGAAAGACCAAGGUUUCCUGCGCAACGUUAAUCGACGCAGGGUUAGUCGGUCCCUAAGGCGAGGCUGAAAAGCGUAGUCGAUGGAAAACAGGUUAAUAUUCCUGUACUUCUGGUUAUUGCGAUGGAGGGACGGAGAAG